Molecule: ribosomal RNA, 429 nt
Filed under: Actinomycetes bacterium
Lineage: Bacteria; Bacillati; Actinomycetota; Actinomycetes
Description: Actinobacteria bacterium partial 16S ribosomal RNA
Rfam family: Bacterial small subunit ribosomal RNA
Source: RNAcentral
UAGGGAAUCUUCCGCAAUGGGCGAAAGCCUGACGGAGCAACGCCGCGUGAGUGAUGAAGGUCUUCGGAUCGUAAAACUCUGUUAUUAGGGAAGAACAAAUGUGUAAGUAACUAUGCACGUCUUGACGGUACCUAAUCAGAAAGCCACGGCUAACUACGUGCCAGCAGCCGCGGUAAUACGUAGGUGGCAAGCGUUAUCCGGAAUUAUUGGGCGUAAAGCGCGCGUAGGCGGUUUUUUAAGUCUGAUGUGAAAGCCCACGGCUCAACCGUGGAGGGUCAUUGGAAACUGGAAAACUUGAGUGCAGAAGAGGAAAGUGGAAUUCCAUCUGUAGCGGUGAAAUGCGCAGAGAUAUGGAGGAACACCAGUGGCGAAGGCGACUUUCUGGUCUGUAACUGACGCUGAUGUGCGAAAGCGUGGGGAUCAAACAGG